This is a long non-coding RNA of Parus major (Great Tit), 1091 nucleotides long. RefSeq lists it as uncharacterized. NCBI's taxonomy places the organism in Eukaryota, Metazoa, Chordata, Aves, Passeriformes, Paridae. The transcript is spliced from 3 exons. The record is from RefSeq and is a predicted model, not a curated record.
CAUACACUGACUACCUGUGCUAGCUGAUCCACUAAAGGAAAACACAUUUUGUAACCCUCCUUACUCUCCUCCCUCUCCCCCCUUUUAACUUUUUAUUGAUCAUACCACCAGCAGCACCAACAUGGUCCCUCCUGUUUAAUGAUCUGACCACAUUUCACCCAGGAGUUGUGCCUGAGCGAAUUUGCAGAGGCUGUGUUCUGCGUGGAGGAGAGGGAUGCAAGGCUGGCAUGGCUGCACUAAGAGGAGAUAGCAUGUUAACACAUGAACUGCCCUUACCUACAACCAGCCUCUGGCCGUGUCCUGCCUUUAUCUGCACGGUGCUUCUCUACAGGUAUGUGAUACCCAUGGCUGUUGCCUGGUUCAAGGUAUAAACAAUCCUUUUUCUAUUUUUUUUUCCUAAAUUAUUUUUACCCAGACCGGUUCUGCAGUCCAGUUCACUGUGCAGCUGCACAAACAACUCUACUGGUGUAACAGAAGGGCUGCCACAAGGUUUUAUCAGUUCAUCAGCAAUAAAAAUACUACGUCGUAGCUCUAGGAAGGAGCAAAGUGCAGCCUGUGCCUGCAGGAAUCAUUGCAUCACCUACUGCUCUUAUGGCUACAUCUACAAAACACCUGGAGUGCUCUGGAGCAUGCUGACUCUCACCUGUCCUGGGGAUACAGUUCCAACUUUCCAUUGCCACAUCUGUUGCAUGUAGGCCAGGAGAAAGCAGUGCUCUCAUUAACUCCAACAACAGUACCUGCAGAACAUGGAAUUCUUACAAAAUGCUAACAUUAAGCCAGCAAACACAGUCACUCUUGGCUUCACAACAGCGGGUUUGAGCCUUUCUGACCCACAGCUUAAGACUUGUCAGAGCAAGAAUCAGCUCUUCCAACAAUCUCACUCCCUUUCUCCUUAGUCCCUGCAACUAGGGGUGAAAGUACAGCAGUGUUACAUUCUAAAAAUACCAGAAAGUAGAUAAUUGACAAUUAACUUUCCAAACAGGCUCAGUUCUUUUGGUUUGGAUUUUAGUGCUUUUCUGAUUUGUUUUUGCUUGUUUGCUUUCUUUCUGGUCCUCUGAUGUUUUCUUGGCAAUAAACAGUGAUAAAAAUCA